Long non-coding RNA from Peromyscus californicus insignis, 1062 nucleotides. RefSeq lists it as uncharacterized. The record is from RefSeq and is a predicted model, not a curated record. The transcript is spliced from 3 exons. Lineage: Eukaryota; Metazoa; Chordata; Mammalia; Rodentia; Cricetidae.
UCUCUCCAUUCCCUUAAGAAUGUGUCCUUUUAAAGAUCCUUUUUAAAAAUCCUUCAUAAAAAUCUCUAGUCAUUUAAAACCAUGAAUAUUAUGCCUCAGUAAAGUAACAUACAAUUUUACAGCCCAAGACACGGCAGUCGCCUCUGGGGAACACAUUGCUCUUCCUUUCACUCAUCAACACCCACUCUAACACAAAUGAAAUCCAAAAGCCCAUAUGGUCCUCCCACAGCAUCUUGGGUAACAUCGUGUCUCCUCGGCGUAACAAUCACUUAAAGAAAGACUGCCCACAACUAGGCUCUUUCAGAGGGUUGCAUGUUUCUUGACCAAUCCAGGAUGAUUUUGGAAUCAAAAGCCCUCAAGGAAAUGUGGAAGGUCCCUUGGUUCCAUGCCCCUGCUUCAGGAAGACUGUAAGUAAACUAUUCUGGGCAUGUGGGAAUCUCAUGCAGGAACCUCAGCUGGCUGGUUGGAACCCACCAGAGACUAUCACCAGAGACUCUCAUAUACUAUCUGUACAUGCACCACCCUGGGUGUACCUCGUGGAUCGAAGACCACAGGCCAUCAUAUGCCAAGACCAAGAUUCCAAAGCUGCUUGGUGUCUCCUUUCAUUCUAGCAAUCUGAAGUCUUAGGCUCAACACAAGGGCACCUCAACAGAGAAAGGCCUUUGCAAAUCCUACGCCCACACUCAACAACUGUGGUACAUCCCAGCUUCCAUCUUUACUACUGAAGGGUCUCUCACUGAACAGCAAGCUGCCAGGAUCUGCCUGUCUCUGUGCACCCAGAGCUGGGGUUACAAGCACAUCCGCCCUAUGCAGCUCUUCUGUGGAUUCCGAUGCAGGUCCUGACGCUCGUACAACACGUGCUUUACCCACUGAGCCAUGUCUCCUGCCUUCACCCACCGCGCCAUCUCUGCCCCCCAACCAUAAUAAAACUUGCACCUAUCUACUCCCACCCCCAACCAAUAGUAUCCACGUCACCCGACGAUGGCAUGGCAUGCUUGGAGACUCUAAAAGCUGCAUCUAAGACAGGAGUUCAAGAAGAAUAAACCAGAACAUGCAAGACCA